This is a non-coding RNA of Podarcis lilfordi (Lilford's wall lizard), 190 nucleotides long. Lineage: Eukaryota; Metazoa; Chordata; Lepidosauria; Squamata; Lacertidae. The record is from the annotation of a GenBank genome assembly.
UGCCUGAUGUUGAGUCAGAAUCUUCUUUCUUAUAACUUGAAGACAUUGGUUCUAUUCCUACCCUCCAGAGAAGGAGAAAACAAGCUUGCUCCAUCUUCCAUGUGACAUCCCUUGAAAUAUUUGAAGAUGGCUACCAUAUCUCUUCUCAGUCUCCUCUUUUCCAAGCUAAACAUACCCUGCUCCUUCAACC